GAUGAACGCUGGCGGCGUGCCUAAUACAUGCCAGUCGAGCGAACAGACGAGGAGCUUGCUCCUUUGACGUUAGCGGCGGACGGGUGAGUAACACGUAGGUAACCUACCUAUAAGACUGGGAUAACUUCGGGAAACCGGAGCUAAUACCGGAUAAUAUUUCGAACCGCAUGGUUCGAUAGUGAAAGAUGGCUUUGCUAUCACUUAUAGAUGGACCUGCGCCGUAUUAGCUAGUUGGUAAGGUAACGGCUUACCAAGGCAACGAUACGUAGCCGACCUGAGAGGGUGAUCGGCCACACUGGAACUGAGACACGGUCCAGACUCCUACGGGAGGCAGCAGUAGGGAAUCUUCCGCAAUGGGCGAAAGCCUGACGGAGCAACGCCGCGUGAGUGAUGAAGGUCUUCGGAUCGUAAAACUCUGUUAUUAGGGAAGAACAAACGUGUAAGUAACUGUGCACGUCUUGACGGUACCUAAUCGGAAAGCCACGGCUAACUACGUG
This 497-nucleotide ribosomal RNA is filed under the name uncultured bacterium. Its description in RNAcentral is "partial 16S ribosomal RNA". It matches the Rfam family "Bacterial small subunit ribosomal RNA", at positions 28 to 507 of the family's 1533-position model. The record is from RNAcentral.